Molecule: ribosomal RNA, 90 nt
Filed under: Paenibacillus lautus
Lineage: Bacteria; Bacillati; Bacillota; Bacilli; Caryophanales; Paenibacillaceae
Also listed under: 1 other name
Description: partial 16S ribosomal RNA
Rfam family: Bacterial small subunit ribosomal RNA
Source: RNAcentral
UUAUUGGAGAGUUUGAUCCUGGCUCAGGACGAACGCUGGCGGCGUGCCUAAUACAUGCAAGUCGAGCGGACUUGAUGGAGUGCUUGCACU